This 407-nucleotide ribosomal RNA is filed under the name uncultured bacterium. RNAcentral's name for it is "partial 16S ribosomal RNA". It matches the Rfam family "Bacterial small subunit ribosomal RNA", at positions 30 to 526 of the family's 1533-position model. The record is from RNAcentral.
AUUGAACGCUGGCGGCAGGCCUAACACAUGCAAGUCGAGCGGAGCGGCGGACGGGUGAGUAAUACCUAGGAAUCGGCCUGGUCGUGGGGGAGACCGCUCGGAAACGGACGCUAUUACAGCAUACUAUCAAUUGAGCCUAGUUCGGAUUAGCUAGUUGGUGGGGUAAUGGCUCACCAAGGCGAGGAUCCGUACCUGGUCUGAGAGGAUGAUCAGUCACACUGGAACUGAGACACGGUCCAGACUCCUACGGGAGGCAGCAGUGGGGAAUAUUGGACAAUGGGCGAAAGCCUGAUGCAGCCAUGCCGCGUGUGUGAAGAAGGUCUUCGGGUUGUAAAGCACUUUAAGUGGGGAGGCGUUACCGACAGAAGAAGCACCGGCUAACUACGUGCCAGCAGCCGCGGUAAUUC